Molecule: unclassified non-coding RNA, 182 nt
Filed under: rhizosphere metagenome
Description: partial ribosomal RNA internal transcribed spacer region
Source: RNAcentral
GAAUACAAACGCUUGGGUCUCUGCCUCGGCAAGGCUCUCGCACCCUUCACAUCCAUAACACCUGUGAACUGUAAGACGUGGCGACCUCGGUCCCCGUCUGCCCCCAUCAUAAACAUUUAGUAGUAACAAAAGUAGUAUUAUUAUAAUCUAAUAAAACUUUCAACAACGGAUCCCUUGGCUCU